Molecule: ribosomal RNA, 315 nt
Filed under: Triticum aestivum (bread wheat)
Lineage: Eukaryota; Viridiplantae; Streptophyta; Magnoliopsida; Poales; Poaceae
Description: partial small subunit ribosomal RNA
Source: RNAcentral
AUGCAGGCUCAGCUGAAGGAUCUCUCUAUGCUUUUGAUGGCAUUCUUCUUUGCUAUCACAACACCCGCCGGGAUCGCUGCAGGUUCCGCCAUGGCAUCAUUCUACGACCCGUACAGCCCCCGUGCGUUGGUGGUGGAGGGUAUUCUUAAUGCCACGUCGGCUGGUAUACUGAUCUAUAUGGCACUGGUGGAUCUCAUCGCGGCUGAUUUUCUUGGCCGGAGGAUGAGCAACAGCCCAACCAUCUUGCAGGUUGGCGCAUAUGUCUCCCUGUUUCUUGGGGCCCUAGCUAUGGCAUCCCUUGCAAUCUGGACUUAG